RNAcentral lists this ribosomal RNA (495 nucleotides) under uncultured bacterium. RNAcentral's name for it is "partial 16S ribosomal RNA". It matches the Rfam family "Bacterial small subunit ribosomal RNA", at positions 28 to 507 of the family's 1533-position model. The record is from RNAcentral.
GACGAACGCUGGCGGCGUGCCUAAUACAUGCAAGUAGAACGCUGAAGGAGGAGCUUGCUUCUCUGGAUGAGUUGCGAACGGGUGAGUAACGCGUAGGUAACCUGCCUGGUAGUGGGGGAUAACUAUUGGAAACGAUAGCUAAUACCGCAUAAUAGCAGUUGUUGCAUGAUAACUGUUUGAAAGGUGCAAUUGCACCGCUACCAGAUGGACCUGCGUUGUAUUAGCUAGUUGGUGGGGUAACGGCUCACCAAGGCGACGAUACAUAGCCGACCGGAGAGGGUGAGCGGCCACACUGGGACGGGGACACGGCCCAGACUCCUACGGGAGGCAGCAGUAGGGAAUCUUCGGGAAUGGACGGAAGUCUGACCGAGCAACGCCGCGGGAGUGAAGAAGGUUUUCGGAUCGUAAAGCUCUGUUGUAAGAGAAGAACGAGUGUGAGAGUGGAAAGUUCACACUGUGACGGUAUCUUACCAGAAAGGGACGGCUAACUACGUG